AUCUGGGCGGCGGAAUUCAGGAUGGCCGGACGGGUCUCUCCCGUUCGGCCCUUUGAUAUUUCCGUCGCCGUGGCAGACGUCGCGACCUGUUCGUCGUCGGUCCCUGCUCGGAGGAAUCGCGAUCGAGUUCGUUGCGGCUCACGUUUCGGCGUGUUUCGCGGCGAAGACGCGACUCUCUGGCCGACGACGGACAGUAAGCAACGGUGUCCGAUGCCGUGUCUCGUACUCGGUGUCGGUGCCGGUCAGCGACGAUUUCUUCGGGCCUCUUUCCGACCCGUCUUGAAACACGGACCAAGGAGUCUAACAUGCGCGCGAGUCGCGGGGUUUCGAGCGUGCCACCGGUGCGCUCGUUACUUCCGAAACCCGUACGUUGAAGGCGUAAUGAAAGUGAACAGGGAAGAUGGCGUUCCGAGUCCACGUACCGUGAUCGAGUAUCGCGGCCGGACGUCCGCACUCCCGGGGCGUCUCAAUGGCUCGACUAGGAUGCGGACGGUCGUCUCUCGGGGCGGCCGUCGGUCCCUGUCGGACCGA
Molecule: ribosomal RNA, 531 nt
Filed under: Unaspis citri
Lineage: Eukaryota; Metazoa; Arthropoda; Insecta; Hemiptera; Diaspididae
Description: eukaryotic LSU rRNA
Source: RNAcentral